RNAcentral lists this long non-coding RNA (910 nucleotides) under Dasypus novemcinctus (nine-banded armadillo). RNAcentral's name for it is "lncRNA (ENSDNOG00000050634.1)". Lineage: Eukaryota; Metazoa; Chordata; Mammalia; Cingulata; Dasypodidae. The record is from RNAcentral.
CUGGUAAGAUGGUGUCUGCUCUCUGAGCUCUGUCUGCUCCCACUUCUUUGGAGAGAUCAGUAGCUAGGUACAAAGAUGCAGCUGCAGUUCCAGUGGAGGCUGCGUUUCCUACGAAGGUGCUGGCGGGACCGUGGAGGAAACGAGCUGCCCAUUUCACAGAAUCACCUGGCGCAUCGAGGUCCCUGGGAGCCCGUCCCGCGUCGGCCCGUGAAUGCCGCUGCAUCCAGCUCCCGGGGCGGGCUGUGUCCUUCCUUGGAACCGCCCACCAUGCCUGGCCCUCGGGGUGGGGGCAUCCUCAGCAUGGCCUCAGAAGACCCCAGCCCUCCUGCUACGGGGACACAGGAGCCCCUGCUCCCUUGUGCCUCAGGUUCCCCAUCUACGAAACGAGGCGGUUUGAACUAAAAGCUUCUUCACAAGCUUUUCAGCUGAGAUCAUUCCUCUUGGUAUGAAUUUCUAUUUUCUAAACCAUAAAAGCCCAUGAAUACACGAGAUAAAGAUCGUACGAUCCAGGAAAUGAGUCUCCCUCUGCCCUGCCCCUGGCAGACGACGCUGCGAGCUGAGUGUUUUUCAUGCCAGGCCUUUUCCUGGAGUGUUUCCUGAGCAUCGUUUUACUCUGAGGCCUCGUGUAAUUGUUCGUCUUACUUAUUCCACUAACGGGAGGUUUUCGGUGCUUUUUUGUCGCCUACACUCACACGCCUAACUUCCAGUGGCUGCGUAGCAUACCAUCACCCGAGCUAUGACGGCGAGGCCACACACGCCCCUGUCUGUGUCGUGUGGCCCACGCAUCCCGGAUUAUUCCUUGGAAUCACGCGCCCAGAAGCAGGACGUCCGGUCUGGGGUCUGGGAGCAUUUUUCGCUGUUCAACGCCUUAAGGGAAUUUGCGUUUCAAACACGUCACCCCGAUUUAUAA